Long non-coding RNA from Felis catus (domestic cat), 17156 nucleotides. RefSeq lists it as uncharacterized. The record is from RefSeq and is a predicted model, not a curated record. NCBI's taxonomy places the organism in Eukaryota, Metazoa, Chordata, Mammalia, Carnivora, Felidae. The transcript has 3 exons.
CUGAGGCCGAAAUCAAGGGUUGGACGCUCAACCGACUGAGCCACCCAGGCACCCCAGUAAAUUUGUUCUUAGUUUAUUUUUUUAAUGAUAUUUUUCUUUCCUUUGUGAUGUGAACAUAGAGCUCUUUCCAAAGCACAUCCCAUACGCUCAUGCUGUGAAAUAUCUUGCGGUAAGCACUUACAGGACAAGACAUCUGUACAGAUACUGAUUUAUAACAACUCCAAGCUACACUAAAUGGGGAAAAAUGUGAACAGCAUAUGAUCAGUAGAAUCAUCUUACUAGGCAUUGGGGCCCGAGUCAAGCUUAAGACAAAAUGGCAUCUAGUCCAGAUUGCUCUUAAUUCCCUUAGCAAGUUGUCACAUUGGAGCCCCACAUGCUCUUUUGUAACCACACCUACUGUCCCUCAGCAUUGGAGCCCAUCACCAAUGGGCUUGAAUUUAGGGACUUCCUUGCCUUGAAUUUAGGGACUUCCAGGAAAAGUGUUUCUCUAAACACUCGAAUCACAUAAGGGAGCUGAAAGCUUACCCCACACCCUCCCUUAUACUGCUUCUUGGGCAUAUGGUCCCUCAGUGGGAUGGCCAACCCCGGCACAAAUAGUUAUAUUCACAGAAGUUAAACACUUCCAUGAUGCGACUACCCUGUGUAAAUUCGCUGGGGGGCGGAGAGGGGUGGGCAGAGAAGAGCAUGGGUGGAUAUGCCAGAUCUUGAAGGAUACAGUUAAACUAGUACAGUGACUACAUCUGGAGACAAUAGUUAUUGUGUCAUUUGUAGACUUUGUGUACUAUAAAAAAAUGUUUUUGAAAAGUAAUGUAAGAAUUUCAAAGUCAAUAAUAAAAGGCCAUUCUAGAUACUGGGCCCUCCCAGGGAAUCCCCCCUGGGUCUGGUUUCGUCCCACAGGGAUGACGCUGGAAGCGUGGGCACCAGCCACUUAGACUUCGGUGAGACGUAAAAACCGUGCUGAAUUUGCUGUUGCCGUCACGGCCUUCUGUGAAAGUACAUGGCAAGAAGCGCUCCUCUCCCACAACCCGUACCCUCCAGAGUGCGCUGCGGGUAAGCAGCAGACCUCUGCCGCAGCAGGGCCAGGGGUCUGGAGGGAAAGGUGCUCCGCUGCCACCUCGUGUGACUUGCCGAGUUUGCGUUUCUCCCCACAGUUGUCGAGCGCCUGACACUCGGGUGGGCCCAGGACAGCUCUGCCCUUUCUCUUCCUGCUAACGACUCGACUGGAGCCGCCUCUUUCACGGGUGCUGCCCCUCUGAUGGGGUCAACACACAGAGGGCCGUCAGCCCAGGUAACAGGACCAGCCCCAGUCACGUCUGAAUGUUGUCCCCUUGUCCAUCCUUAAACAUAGUAGCGUUGUUGUUGUUAGAUCCCGUGGGCCUGUCCCCUGAGCCUUCAGGGUUAUAGUUGGAAUCCUCAGAGAUGGGUGGCGGUGGGGUGGCCAGGGACUUCAAUAGAGCUCCCUAUCUCUGGUCACUGGACGCUGAAAUCUUCCUUCCAACAUGGUGUCUAUUGUGGCCUGAAAGAAAGAUGCUUUUGUGGAGGCGAGGAAAUCUGGUUAACUUUUCAUCUCUCUUCAGUGCCAGGCCAUCAGGGAAGUGCUCCUGGAAGUCCAGAGAAACACAGCAACACACUCUCCUCCACACAGAGCCCCUUUCACCCCAAGGCACUUGUCAGACUAUGUAUGGGGAUUACCUCACCUCCCUCUUUGGGGUGGAAGGCGACAGCUGUCCACUUCCCAGAUGCUUUGCAUAUCCAUUUGAGAGGAAGUGAGGGGGCGUUGGGGGUGAUGGGGUGUAUUAUCUAAGCUGGACCCAGGCCAGUGUGAAUUGUGGAACCAACGAGUGCACGGCCCCUUGCCCUCGGCUUUCCAGCUCACCAGGAAGACGGCGACAAACCAUUAGGAGGCUGAGCACAGGAGGAAGGAAAGGACAGGCUGUGAGGGUUAGUGGCCUCCUUGGAGCUGGGGCCAGAGUGACCUUACAGUGGAGAAAUUGAAGUGGGCAGGGUCGCGUUAUCAGGCGCCUUGGAGGUCAUGGUGUGUUUUAGAAGGAAUUGCCUUCCAAGUGAGAGUGUUAGUUAAUUGUCGUGAACUUUGAAGGGACAGGUGUGCAACCAUUCCCAACAGGAUUCAUCUUGGGUGAGAGCAGAUCCACUGUGGCCCUUAUUUGCCACUGGCCGACUGAAUGAUUUUCCUGUAGCCAGACUGGCCCCCUCCUGGGGUGUCUCUCAGGAAAGUCAGGCAUGCCAAGGGACAGACCUCCAAGCUGAUUUCCCCAGCACCUCACCAGAUUUAGCCAAAAGCCUCACUGAGAAUUCACUGAGAAAGAUUUUGGCGCUCUCCUUGUCUAAGCCCUCUCUUCCUCUUCCUCCAUUUUACUGAUGAGGAUGCCACAGCCCAGGGAGACAUGGGCUGGGACAAGGACCUGGAUCACCUGACCAGUCACAUGCCAUCCCUGUCCUGCUUGCGUGGGCACUCCCCCUGUCCACCGGCAUCCUGUGUGUCUGGGCGUGCCCUUUUUAUAGAGAGCAGUGAGAUGUGAGAGAAUGUCCCCCUGGGUGGCUGGGCCAGGCCAGACCCCACUGCCGGAGAGAUCUCAAGGCCAGACUCGGCUCUGUCUCCACAGUGAGGCCUUGCCUGGUUGUCCCCUCAUGGCUGCAUGUUAGCUUACCUUCAGCGCUGAGGUGAAGAGUGAAAAGCUUGUAGGGCAAAGGUUUCUGUUUCACUAAUGGAUCAUAAAAGUAGCCUAUGUUCAUGGGAAAUAUAAACCACAAAAAUAAUAUAAAGUCAGACAGAAGCCCCAGUUCCCAUUUCUGAUCUGAAGGCAUUUGAAGGGGCUAGGCCAAGUUUUACCUGCUUUACGGGUAUUUGUUUUACUGAAUUAUCGCAGCACUGGAACAGGAACCAUUCUCGUUUUACAGAUGAGAAGACCAAGGCACAGAGAUGAGUGUUCCUGAGCUCACACAGUGAUGCCCCCCUUGGCGGAAGCAGAUUUCAAACUCAGGCUGUUCAACCCCCGCGCUGGGCUCUUAAAUCACUUGACUUCUUUGACCUGCUGUUUCCUCCUCAGCAAAACCAGCCUGAUGGGGAAAACACAUGAAGUGUGCCUCAGAGCUGGGCUGGAAGAGAUGCCUACGAGCGAGAUGUGUUGUUUUCACACAACAAAAAGCUAUACAGCAACGAAAAGGGACAAAUUGCAGCUACAGGUGCAGCAGCAGAGGAAGCAUAUGACUCCCGUGCAUGGUGAAGACAGCAAGAGCCUGCAAAUACGGAGUCCUGUAAUGCAAACCACGAGUGCCUCUGAGCUGUGGUAGGCGCACUCCAAAUCGCAAAUCCGCAAGGCAUUGCACAUCUGGAUGGAGCACGGGCCUUGGAAAAAUUGUGCCUCUUGGUAUCCAUGGUGUCUGAAGCAAAGCAAAACAGUAUGUGAAGGGUGGGAUAUGGAAACACGGUGGCUGGAGCCCCUUAUUAAGGGGUGUCGAAUGUCACUGACAGCCGCUGCCCUUCUACUGCAUGAAGGUAAUAAAUGUUAACAGGGACUCUCACGAGUUCUCUCAUCACUUGGGUCUCCCCCAGCUGUCUUCCAUCAAGUCUUAAGUUGUGAAUCCUCCUGGCAGUUGGGAGGGAAUACAGUAAAUUCAGUCGAUAUGGUAGAAUAGGCCUGUACACACAGUAGCCCCUGGGUUCCAAGGCCCCCUCCAAAGCUGCCCCCACCCCAAGGCUGCCCUCAUGUUCACUUGAAGUCUAAAGAACAGAAGCCUUCCAAGCCUCUUUUUUUGGUAUUGGAAACCUACCUAUGCCAACAUGUCAGGUUCUUGGUGACUGUCAGGAGCCCCCGCCUAGGAGAGGUAGUGGGAAGCCACAGUUCUCCCCCUCCGAGCUGGCUACCGGGAGGUGUGCUGCUGGGAAAGCAAAUCUCAGACCCCACGUGCGACAGUGACUAGGAAGCACGUGAAAAAGACUCCUGCCACCGAAAGCUUGGCAAAGCGUCUGUUCGCUCUCUGCAGAUGCACGUCCAUGGGGAACAGGAGGAUGGGUGGCAGGGGAGAGCAGAAUCCCACGGGAAUCUGCUGCUAAGGGUCUGCGGGUGGGGACGGGGGCAGUGAACUCCCUAUAGGAGUUCCAGACUCAAACCUUCUGCAGAUCUUAGGUGGUUGGGCCUGCCAAGUUCUCAUGCCCCAAGUCUACUGGGGACAGAGGUACCUAGAUAACAUUUCUGGCCACUCACAUAUUUGGACUGGAUUCAUUUCACCAACAACGAAGUUAUAAUGACAGGGAGUAGAGAUUCGUUCCCGGAGGUUGUGCUCACUUUGGUCCGUGUGCUGGCAGAGGGGAAGGGGAGCGGAGAUACUCGACACAAGUUCCUUACCAGCCCUGGGCCGGCCCCGGCCCCAGGGAAUCCCAGCAACCCCAAAUAAGGGAAAUGAAGAACCUCAAGCUUCUUUAGGCAGCGAACCCCACAGGGGCCACCAGCCUUUGCUGUGGGAAGAGGGCAUUAGCUGUCCCCUUGAACCCCACUUGCUCGGGGAAGCUGUUGAGGCCUGAAGGGAGCUUCAGGUCACCUCACAUUCCCCAGAAGGCUGAGUUUACAUGGUGUGGGGAACCCAGGGUGGCUGCCACCUUCCCCUCCCACUGGGGGCUCCGUGAGCCUCAGAGGCACCAGCAUCCAGAAGCUCUCCAAACCCCAUACUUCAGGGAUUUUUAUGGAGGCCUUAUCAUGGGGAUGAACCCAGGGGAUGGGUGGGGGGAAGUGCUGAACAUCCCAGGCUUCUGACCAUGCUUGGUCUUUCAGGUCACCAACCCCUGUGCUGAAGGUAGCCAGGAAGGAGCCUGCCAAGAGUCACUUCAUUAGAGCAAAAGAUAUUCCCAUCACCCAGGAAACUCCAAGGGAUUUGGGAGCUCUGUGUCAGGAAGCAAGGGCAAACAAGAGAUGCUCCUAGCACCUUAACAGAGUAGGAAAUUACAAAGGUUUUAGGAGUUCUGGCCAGGAGCUGGGUUCAAACACCAAAAUAUAUAGUUCUUCUGCCAUCAUAACAUCCCAUUGUAACAAGGAGUUCAUGGCUGUGCAAAAUCCCCUGGGGAGCCCGGCUGCAAUUUUCUAGGUGCACAGACCUUUAAAAAAUGAAGUCGAUUUAAAAUCCAUGCUAAUACAGUAGCAGGAAGCUUCUAGCAGUCUGUGGCUAUUUAAAUUACAUUUCAUUUAAUUUAAAUUUAAAGGAAAAUUCAAUUCUUUUGUUGUACUAGCCACUUUUCAAGCGCUCUGUAGCUGGCUAAUGACCACCAUAUUGGUCAGUGCAGAUAAAGAAAAUUUUAAUUGGACAAUGCUGUUUUAAAUGCCUUCACUAAAACAAUAAGACUUUAUCACCAUCAAAGAAAAAAUAGUUUCAAUGUAGUAUAAUCGUGUUUUUAAGAACAGAUUUGAACAGGCUUCCCAAAUGUAAUUGUGCAUAAGAAUCAUCUAGGGAAUCUUGUAAAAAUUCACGUUCUGAUUCCGCAGGUCUAGGGUGAGGCCCUAGAUUCUGCAUUUCUAGUAAGCCCACAGGUCGUGCUAAUGCUGCUGGUCUUUGGACCAUCCUUUUGGGCAGUGAGGGAUCACUGGAUUAAUUAAAAAACACCCAGGGUGCAUUUUAGUGAUGAACCUUGGGAAUGGGAAGCAAGUUCGAAAUUGCAUCAUGAGUGAUGAGCGUCAUCUUUCACUCCUGGCCAGAUACCUUGGCCGCUGUCGACUUCAUUCAGACAGUAUGUCUCAAGCCUAAAUUUCAGGCCUGUUGUUAGGCCCCGCCCAAAGGCCCGUUUCCCAGAGUGAUAGGUCCUGGCGUCAGGAACAGCUUCCCUCUUAGGGCCCCAUCAGGCCAAAAGGCCCCGGCUCCCCCGGGAAUCAAGGCGACUUGCCAUGACAGCUGUCGGGGACAGCUCCUCUCAGAACAGUGAACUGGAUGCCUUGUCUCAGCCUCCCCUUUAUUUCUUGUCUUUUUCUCAAAUGUAAAAAUAGAGAAGUUCAAAGCCCCCAUAUUCCCACCACCCCAAAUUACCACCGUUACAAUUUGUCACAUAUUCCUUCCAGUGCGUCCCGCGUAUGUUGUUGAUUCAGUGGCCUGAGAUGAACAUAGCCGCCGAGUGUUCACACCUGGUGUGGUGCUGGCCCUGUGACUUACCUAACUACGGGAUGUGGCGGAGGUGAUGCUGUGCCAGCUCUGAGGCAAAGUCUUGAGGAAGCCUGACAGUUUCUGGGUUUUCACUGAUGGAAGCUCUUUGUGCCCGGCCACUCUGCUGGAGUGAUCACGUUGGCGACUGCGUGGAGAGACAGCCGGACGAGGACUGACCAGGAGGCCCAGCCUACGCGGAAAAGCAAGGCCUUGGCUUGCAGCUGAGUGAGGCUACCCAGGUGGCUCCCAGCAAGACCAGCCAAGGGACUGCCCCAGAGAACCCGGCCAAGGUGGAAGAACCAGGAGCAAAUAAAACGGCAGACCUUCCCAGCACCUCCUUCCCAGCAGAAACCACGUUUGGUGGAGACCAUACCCUCUGGUGGCAUCUACCCUUCUUCUCUGUGGGAUCACAAGCAGGUGAGAGCACUUUGGGGCAGAAGGAGCCAAGCGGCCAGAGGUUACCCCCUUCCCUCUAGGGCUUACCAUGGUGGGCUUGAACCCUGGCUCUACCGCUUACCAGCCCUCUGAACUCAGGCCAUAAAGUGGGCCUCCCUGAGCCUUCCCAUUUACAGAAACAGGAAUUACGAUAGUGAUAAGCCCCUCCUAGAGCUUUGGUGGGGAUCCCCAGAAACUGGAUGGACUGUGCUUAGGGUAGGACCCGGCACCCACGGGUGUUGUCAUGGUGACUGUUCUUGCCCUGUUUCAUCAUCCUCACGGACAUCAUCCGGGUUGGCCACCCUCUAGGGGAUCUGUGUGCCUGCCUUCACAGAGGGCUCCAGAAGGGGCUUCACGAAGAGGAGAAAGGAAGAAAUCCUCACCAGGGAGGGAGGUGGAGGUUCCCAGAAGUGCAGGGAGGAGGGAGGAGCCCACUGGACUGUAAGCCCUGAGAGAGCAAGGCCUGCAUCCAUUUCUUCCCUGCUGUGUCCCCAGCACUGAGGACAGUGCCUGGCACAGGUUUGGUGCUCAGAGCACAUUUUUUUCAAUGAACGCAUGGACUUUUGAGCGGAUCACUGCGUCCCUGGAAUGUGAACCUGCCCUGGGCUUCUGGCUGGAGAUAAUUGAGUGCUGAAUUGUUGACUGGUUGGUGAUACAGGACUCAGCCUUCAAAUUCCUGUGCCUGGAAUUUGAUCAUGGAAAUACAGAGAGCAGGGCAAUUAGCAGUAAGGGCUCAGGAAGCAGAAGUGAGAAAUGGGGUGGAGUUGAUCCCUCCAAGAGCGAGGCAACCCGGGCACCCUGGGGGAGAGCGGCUCUCCAGCUCCCAGGCGCCCCUCCAUCUUCCCAGCUACUUAAGUGGUCAGAGGAGGGAAGUGAGAGGGAGGAGCAGGGUGCUCCCCCCCAUCCGAGAGACCCUCCACCACAGGGAGCUCAUUCCCCUUCAUCUGCAGGCCCCUCACUGAGCCCUGCUAUGCACUGGCCUUGGCACUUGGGUCUGGGGCAGAACCACAGCCCUUCAGAGUGGCCUCUGUGAUAGGUAGGAAUCCAGACAGGGCAAGAGGAGAGGGAGCACUUCUUGGAGGAGUCCAUGUCUACUGUCUGCAGUGGUUGCUGAAGGGUGGAACAAGUUGGCCAGGGAAAAGAACAGGCAAUGACUUUCGAGGCAGAAGGAACAACGUGGGCAAAGGCCCAGAGAUUGGAGAGGGCCUGGCCAGUUUGGGGAACAGCAGGACAUUCCAUGUGGCCAGACCACGAGUUGGGGUGGGGGGCGGUGAGGGAUGGGGCAAGAGGGGGCACCGGGUGGAAUCUCCCCUCCCGAGUCAGAGUCUGCCUGUGCUGGAGUAUCCAACCCAGCGCUGAGAGGGGCAGCUGCACUCGAGUGACCUGUCCUCGGAGCAGAGCCAAGUGCAGGCCUCAGGGUUCAGCUCUGCCACCGGCUGGUUGUGUGACCCAGCAGCUGGGAUGACUACCCCAUCUGCACAGUGAAGGGGCUGCCUUGGUGUUCUCUAAGGCCCUGUCCCUGGCUCAGAGGGUCCCUGGGUUGGGGGAGGGCACUGUGGGCUUCUGGACCUGGGGCAGCAGGAUGCAGGGAGGAUGGCCUUUGUCAGGAAGUGCCAUCCCAGGGGCCAGCGCCAUCCAGCGGGUGCUGCCAGCAUUCACUCCAGGUCCAAGGAUCAGGCUCAGAAGAGACACGUCCCAAUGGCUCCUGGCUGGGUGGCUUUGCUCUUCCCUGGGGAGACCCUGUCUACUUCCCCAACCACAGAGGAGGUCUGGGUUCCAUGGUGCCGGGCCCUGGGCUGCCUGGCUUUUCAAGGAUGGCUGACUCACGGCUUUGGCAGCCCUGGCUCAGCCUUUUCCCCCAGCUGAGGACCGAGGGGGAUUGAGCCUUUCUCUGGCAUCUUUCCCACCCCUAGCUGCCUGCCAGGUUCAGGCCUUUGCAGAUGGGGCGAGGGUCACAUCUUUAUCUGGGGCUUUGCUGUCUGGGUCCCAGGAGCCCUUUCCUGCACAAUUUCACCUGUGUUCCUCACAGAUGCACCUUCUAGACAGGGCUACUGCCCCACUUUGGUGUGGGAGGUGGGGCACUGAGGUUCCAGAAGGAGCAGGAACCCUGCCUAAUGAUACAUAGCUGGGCAGUGUCAGACUUGCAGCUGUGAGGUGUAGAGAGCAGUUAAGCUGCCGCCCACCCCACCCCCACCCCCGUUGUCACAGAGAGGGCACUGUGCCUGAGGACCCCACAUUGGAUCCCAUGCAACCUGCAAGGGAGGGUUUGGGCCACCUGAACUCCAGAGCUGCUUCCCAAGGGCAUAGUCAAGAAUGUUCCCUAAGGGCUAAGCCUUUCUCUCCUUGGGAUCCUGCCAGGCAGGAGUGGGGAAGUAGGGAGCACAUAGGUUAAAUGCAUGGCUUUUGGGGUCCACCAGCCUUGACUCUAAAUCCCCAAUUCUACCUCUUUCUCAGUGUAUAACUUGAGGAAGAUGCCUCGGUCCCAGGACAGAGAAUCACUGUUCCUCCCUCGCAGGGUAGGAGGAAGGGUAAGUGAAAUGAAAUAAUCUGUUCAUGCACUCACAGAAAUAUUCAGCGUCUACCUACAGUGCACCAGGGGCAAGAUAAAGGAAAGAAAUGAACAGAAGUUCCUUCACUGAACUUCCCAUCUAGCUGGGGAGACUGACAGAAAAAUGCAGAUGUGAUAAAGGAUGAGGCAGGCUGGAGGUGGGGAAGGUGGGGAAGGGCAGGUAGAGCCGGCAGAGCAGGCUCUCAGAGAAGGAGGCUGGCAAGAGCAUUCGAGGGGGAAGGAAUGGCAUCACAGAGUCCCCAGGUGGGCUGCCCAGCCAUUCAAAAGCCGGGGAUGGGGCAGAGCAGGUGAGAAAGCAGUCAGCCAUGGGGGGCGGUGGGGGGGGGGCUCAGCGAGGUGGGGAGGCUGUCCUCCCCUGUGACAGGUCUGCAGGAAGUUGGCCCUCACAGCCGUGCAAGGUCAGGGCCUGUGUGUACACAGGACGUGGCAACUGUGAGCCCACUUUCAACUGCCACAGUUUGAGCGUGGCCUUUCUCCUUUCCUGCCGCUACUCAACCUCUGCCUCAGGUCCUUGGGCCCCGAGGCCUCCCCCACGGUGGCCUGUGACCCCCCCACCGGGGGCACAGCACCCCCCAGCUGCCUGCCACCGCCUCCUACUUGGGGCGGGCCGUGUGUCUGCUCUGGCCGGUCUCGGGGGCUUCACAAAGGCUCCUUUCACCAGAGGGCAUCGUCGGGGGACUGGGCGGGGAUGUGGUGCCCUCCUGCCCGUGGGCAUAAAGACCCUCUUUCUCUUCUGCUGCACCAGCCUCUCGACUGGCGGGCGGAGGGGCCAGUGCGGGGAGAUUCUUGUCCUUCCCUUUUAAAGUAUGGGCGAGACUGGGGCCAGGCAGACAAUGGUGGUGAUUUACAGUCUGCUGGGCCCCAGGGCCGCCUGCCGGGGUGGCACUGAUCAGCCAGCAACGCUGGGAGCAGAGUUGCGCACUGCAGGAUCUAGGGGUGCCUGCCUGGGACCCCAUAGAGGGGGCCCUGACUCACCAGCAUAAAGUGAAAGGUCUGGGCUUAGAGUUUCAGAGCCCACACCCUCCCCCCACCAACUCUGCCUCAACUGGCCUGUUAGGGAGUCCUCCUGGCUAGCAUAUCCCUGGAUUUCCCACCACUAAGCCAUGUCAGGUGUCUCGCAGCUUUGACAUUCUGUGCUGGACAGACACCUGCCUUCAGAGGGAGCUGGGCAGGAAAUGGGGACCACAUGAGGGACCACACGGUGACCAUGAAAGCCCAGGGGGUGGGGAGGGGUCCUAGUCUGGAAGUGACUUGGAAAUGAGUUGGGGUGGGGCGUAUGGCUUUGCAGAUGGAGGGGAUAGGUGCAGAGGCCCAGAGGAAGGACAGGCCCUCAGCUGAGAUGUGCCAGGAGUGGGUGAAGGCACUCGGUGGGGGCAGGGCCAGCAAGUCUGGUACCACAGAAGGGACUUUAUCCAGAAAGCCAUGGGCCCUCUCCAGGGGUCUGAUGUGAGCCUGCAGGAGGGGACCACAGGGGAAGAGAGAAGCUGGGAGAUGGGUCAAGGAGUAAGGGAGGCUGGAAAGGAGCCAGUGGGGACCAAUGGAGUGGUGGCGAGGAGGUGGCUGAGCCACUGACCCAACAGAAACAAGAGGGAGAAGGGGGCAAGAAAGCAAAGGAGAAAGCAGGGAAAGGGAAAGUGAGGCAAGAAGAGAGGCACCCAGAGAGAGGGAGAUGCUGAGUGAGGAGAGACCCAGAGAAUGGACAGAGGGACAGGGGAGAGGAAGGAGGAGGAACAUAGGUAGUAGCAGAGAAAGCAGGAGGCAGAGAGGGAGUGAGGGGGAGGGAGAAAGAUCUAGGCCAUAGCCAAGCAAAGGAGUGAGAGGCCAGAGGACUUCCCCCAGUCCUUACUGGCCUAGACCUUCCCCUGCCGGUGCCCCCCAUGCCCUGCACCCCAAGCCCAGUCCUCGCUGGCUGGGGAGGGCGGGGGGGGCUAGUCUGUUCUCCAGCUCACAGAGGAGGAAAUGGGGAUGAUCUGGUUGGAGAUAAGCAACAACUUUUUUUUUUUAAUUUUUUAAAUGUUUGUUUACUUAUUUUGAGAGAGACAGAGAGAGCAGGGGAGGGGCAGAGAGAGGGAGAGAGAAUCCCAAGCAGGCUCUGCGCUCUCGGCACAGAGCCCUACGUGGGGCUCCAUAUCACGUACUGUGAGGUCAUGACCUGAGCCAAAAUCAAGAGUCUGUUGCUUAACCGCAGGCACCCGAAUAAGCAGGAACUUCUUGAUUACACAACAGAGCAGGCCCACAAGGGAAGUGGUCCCCUCAUUGGGCCCCUGGCCUCCCCGAGGCAGGGGAUUGGUCACCAUGACCCCUCAAAAGACAUGGACUGAAUCGUGUUCCUCUGGGUUGACAGGACCCAGUUGUGGAGGACGAUGGUUUUCAGAUUGUCUGCCUCGGUUUCCCUCAAUGAGGCAGAGAUGUAUUUAGGAGCCUGGGUUCGAUGAUGGGGUGGGGGCAGGGGCUCUGGAGCCAAAGCUGGGCUGGUGACGUGACUGUGUGUGCAUCCAGGUGGCCUUGGGACCUUCUCCUCUCCACCCCAAGCCUUCAUUCCAGGAAAAGGGAGAGGGGUGGAGGGCAGGACUCCACUGAGUGUUUCCAGGGAAAAACUGAUUCUUCCAGAGAACAGGCGGCCACGCCACCUCCCCUCCCCCCUUCCCCCCUCCACUCCCUCCCUUUCUGGCAGAAGGAGCCCAGCAGCUGGAAAAACCAUGCUCUGCUCCGGGCUCCCACCCUUAGCUCGGCUGAGCCCAGGCAGUCCUGCAGAGGGUGUGUGUGUGUGUGUGUGUGUGUGUGUGUGUGUGUGUGUGUGAACUUAUGGUGCAGCCCAAGUACAGGUGGGAAAUGGAGGAGCCUGGCCGUCAUCACCUGCAACCACAGGGUGGGAGAGGCAGGGUGCGUCAGUAGGGGAGAGAACCGAGCCUGAGCUCAUUCCCCAGAGCUUCAGUUUUGUCAUCUGAGAUGUGAGUGUGACACUUGCCCUGCUUCCCUAAUAGGGGCUGGCGUGAGGAUCACAGAAGCCAAGGUGGGAAGAGCAGGAACAUGUCCCUGAGCUCCCUGGACACCCGUCGUCCUCACACCAACCCUUGAGGCAGGUGCUAUUACUGUCCCCAUUUGCCAGUGAGGGUCCUGAGGCCCUGGGGGGUUCUAGUGUCUAAGGUUGCAAAGCACAUCUGAGGCAGAGCCGGGAUUGCAGCUUCCUGCCUGGUGGUCUAGGCGGUGGCUUUUCUCUCUUCCUUCCUCCAAGCAUGAACUGAACGAGUUCCUGGAGGGGCUAUCAGCACAGGCAUACUCCCCUUCCUCUCUGUCUUCUGCCUGGCCCAAACCCUACCACAAUUUCCCUGCCUUCCCCAGAUAGGUCACUCAGUGAGCUAGGGAUGCUGAGUGAGGCUUCUGGACACCCCUCCAGCCCCCACCCCGUUUCUGGGCAUGGACCCCUCCUCCUAUAGGCUGCUCAAAGGGACCCAGUCCUUCCUCAGACCCUCUCUCUGCACCCUGACUCCCUGUCCUCAGUGUAAACACCAUUGCCUUGUGGCUGGAUGACCUCGGUCCCGGAGAUCAGCCCCUGGGUUGGUCAGGCUGGAGACCCAACCACCACCACCAGGGGGCAGGAAGCAGCAAGAAUGGUGACCACUCCCCAGAAUCACCUUUUCCCUGAUCAGUUCACAACUCCCCUUCUCCAGACACCUGUUCAUCCUUAUCUCCUCCUCCCUCCAUACUGAUAUGCUGCCCAAAUUGUGGAGUUGGGGUACCCUAGGAAUAAGUAUGGAAUCAUGGUUUUGCUUUUAUUUGUCACCUCGAGCAAGUGAUACUACCUCUUAGGAACCCCAUUUUCUCUAUUUGUGAGACAGGUACUUAUCCAUUCAUUCACAUCCACCCAUUCAUCCAUCCAUCCACCCGCUCACCCACCCAUCUACCCAACUACCCAUCCAUCCAUCCAUUCAUAUGUAUGGAAUGCCAGGUCCUGGUACAGGUUGUGGAGUACUAAAUGACUGCAUGAAGUAUAGAUUUGUUAUCAUUUAGCCCCUAUUUCCAUAAUUAACCAUAUUUCUGAACAUCAGAGACCUUGAUUUCCAAUGAGCACAGUAAGCAUAGAAAGGCAAAGCUUAGGCCAAUACAUAUACUCACUUAGCAUCAUGCAGACUGUCAGCGGUGGCCACCCACCCAAGCCCAUGAUAACCCACCAGCACCACACUGAGGGUAUCAGAGGACUGGCUGUUGGGACAUUGCUGCCACCACCCGACACAGGCCAUCAAGACCAUCAGGACCAUCAGCACGGCCCCUACAACCCAGGCAGGCCAGCCUCACAACCUUAUACCACCGUGGCACGUCUGUCUUUGUGGAGGUAUGGUUGUAAAAUGGGGUGACCUAAAAAAACUCGUUUUUGAAAGGCUAUUUUGAAGCUUCCAAUAUUUAGGCCCUUGCACAAACUAUCUUCUAUCAUGUAAAUCUCAAAGUUGUCUUUAGGGUAGGGAGUAGAGCUGAGAGGCCCCUUGGCUGGGCUGUGGGCAAGUCUGACGAGGCUUCCAGGAGAAGGAGGCAUUUAGGAUCCUGCUUGCCAGUCUAGAGGGGACUUGUAUAGGGAUGAUGUCCAAGCCAGAGAGAGGAGCAGAAGGUGGACAGAGCUGGGGACAAGUCCAGAGCAUCCUCUACACGGAGGCCUAUGGCCUUCCCAGAGCAUGCUUGACAUACAGCCAGGCUGAGAAACACAACCAUGGGGAGGGAGGUGGGACGCAACCAGGAGAUGGGGCCCAGGGGCAUAGUCACCGGGCCUGCUGGGAAGGCCUCGGGGCUGGGGGUGGCCCCCACCAACCGGGCUCAGGCCGUGGACUCAACCAGUAUCAGUCCUGAAACUGCUGCCCUCCCUGGGCUCAGCUUAGUCUGUCAGAUGCUAAGUUCUCUCUGGAGCCCAGUUCUGAGCUCUGCGAUACCUCAAAUGCCACACCUGCCCUGGAGCGCUCACACAUGGCAUGGGUGCUGGACACUCCCUGAGGCAGGUGCUGCUCGUGUCCACCCAGGUCCCAAGGCUGGUGCCCCUUCCCUCAGCUGCUAUGCUGUUGGCUGCUCUCUGCUCACCCCCAUCCAGAGGCUGCCCUUGGCUGAUGGGCACCACAUUACCUGGAGAUGCCCAGGAGGUUAUAAGCAAUGACUGACAUGGGCGUAUAGCAGCCCAGGCCCCGUGUCUCUGAAGUCCACAACAUCUUUGGUGCCAUUCAUGCUCUAGAGUUCCUCGGGGGAUCGGGUUGAGGCAAGCUUUCUCCCGAAACCACGUCUCACUCAGCUUCCUCUUCUGCCCUAUUCUGCUUCCCUCCCUUUCCUGUGGAUGGAGGCUCUCAGUAAGCCACUUGCACAAGAAAUCCUCCCUCAGGCUCUGCUUCUAGAGAGGUUGACUUAAGAUACCCACAAAACUGAUCUGGUGGCCUCUCCUUUAGAAUGGGGUAUCAAGGUUUCGUGGGGGGGGUGUGGCCCAGUCUUGGGCCAUAGGAGAGCCCUCCGGAAGAUGUGACCUUUGAAAUGGACCUUUGAAAUGGAGGUUGAGUAAGAACUGUUGAACUGAACAGCUAACUGGGGCUGAAUGCUCCAUUUGAUAUAUCUUGCUCAGGGUGAGGGAGGGUGUGAGAGGCCAGAGGAACAAUACCAGCAAAGGCCCUGAGACAGAAAAAGGCGGGACGUGUUCCUAGGAGAGAGGACCUGUGGCUGGAGGGGAGGAGCAUGGAAGGGAGGUAGGAGAUGAGACUAGAAGGGAAGUUGGGCCACAGCAGAGGGUUGCUGUCACCAGGCGGUAAGCCCAAGUCAUUCAGCACCACACUGUGAAUGGACUGUCAUACUCUCUCUUGCUGAAUCCAGAUACAGCCUCACAAUCCUCACCCUGCACCUGGCAGGCUCUAUCAAUCUACUGAAUUAGCAUUUGAGGUGACACCCAUUUUCUGUCCUUGCCCCAGAGCAAGCCCAGGCUGGGUCUGUGAUGUGACAAAUGGGCCAAGUCCAGAGGCCUGGAGAGGAUGGGCUCAAGUACAGUAGAGGCCUCCCCAGGGAAGCAGCCAUUGUGGCCCAUAAAUAGGUUAGGCGGUCAGGAAACGGGAAAUCCUGACAACACAAUGAGGCCUGGGGCACAGGGGUUUCCUCCAGGCUGAGGGCUGGACGGAGGCUGCUUCUUGGGCCAAAAGCCUUGCUGAAGCAGGACUCCUUGACUGUUGGUUCCAGAUGCCUGGCUCUUCCCACAGUCCUCAGGGGGACUCAGGGCCCAGCCUCACCCAACCCGGCCUAGACAGGGCAGCUGAGGACAGACAGGACAAGCCAGGACAGGCAGCAGAACCCUGAGGGAGAGGCAUAAUGGGCUCGGCUCUGGGCUGAGCCCCGCAGUGGGUGGUGGGGGGCUGUGAGGCAGCCAGGCCAGGGGCCAGGGGAAUGGGGUGGCCCCAGAAUCAAUGGGUGCCCGUGCCAGGCCCUCUGAUCCCUAGGAGCCUGCACACCUCUAACAUCUGUGUUGGUGGACCUGUCCAUGCCCUGGGUUCCCCAAGGGUGUAGCAAUACCAGGCUGACCCUACCUGGACCCCAACGAUGGAGAAAUAAUGUGGGCCCUCAUUAAAGAAACAGGCAACCUGUAAAACCACGUCCCAGAAGAAUUUUAAGAAAAUCAAGUCAUAAAACACAAUGCCCUAUAUGAUCUCUAUUUUGUUAAAAAGCACACAAACAUAAAAAUCUCUGUGAAUGUGUGUGUGUGUGCACAGAAGAGACGGGGAAGGGCCAACAACAUGUCUAAGUGGUAGGUUUUCAGAGGAUCUUAUUUUCUUCUCUGUUCUUUUUCUGUAUAUCCUAAUUUUUCUACAAUGAACUUUGUAAUCAUAAAGAAAAACAAAAAACAAAAAACACAACACCCAAAUCCGACAAUGCCUCUUUUCUUUUAAGUACAAUGUUUACAAAGACUGUUUAAAGAAGUUGGGGAAUGUUGAUAAUCUAAUGCUGAGUAGAAAACAGGAUACAACAUUGUAUACAUUGUAUGUAAAGGACGAGCCACUCGGGGACAGGAAGGAAGCUCACAGGGCAUCCAGGCCAACGGCUUUGGCAGGGGCACUGUCAUAGUCCCGUCCAUCUACAGUAUAUGAGAAUCCCCACACCCUCGCAUACACUGGGUGUCACUAGUCUUGAACAUUUUUGCAAUCCAGUGCUUGGAAGACAGUCUCAUUGUAAUUUGAUCCGAUAGGUGAAGGAUUGAGUGUCAUAAUCUGCACAUCUCUGAUCACUGAGCCUCUUUUUGCCCCCUAAAACAUUUUAUUAAGAAAAUUUCAGCAUACAGAAAAGUAGGAGGAAUUGUACAGCGAACACCCACUUACCCACCACGUAGUCCUACAAUUAACAUUUUACCAGGCUUGCUUUAGCACAUAUUGAUCUAUUCAUCCAUCAAUUCUUAUUUUGGGGGGCACAUUUCAGAGUAAGUUACAGGCAUCAGUACACUUCCUCCCUAAACACUGGAGCAUGCAUAUCAUUACCUGGAGUUCAAUAUUUGCUUAGGAUUCUUUUUUUUUUUCUGCUUUCUGUAAAAUGCUCAUAGGGUAAUGCAAAAAUCGUAAGUGUAUCAUUUGAUUAGUUGUGACAAUGCAUACAUUUGUGUAACCCAGAUCUCUAUCAUGAUAUAGAAUGCAACCCCCAGAAAAUUCCCUUUCGUGCCUAACUAGUCAAUCUCUGCCCCCAUCCUCCAGAGGCAACCACGGUAUUUACAUUUCCACCACAGAUUAGUUUUGUCUAUUCUGGAACUUCCUAUCAAUGGGACCCUAAAGUUUGUACUUGCUUGUGUCUGACUUCUUUCAUCUCAUAUUAUUUCUGUGAGAUUUAUCUAGGUCAUUGCAAUAGUUAAUUGUUGAGUGGUGUUGAAUAAAUUCAGCAUAUAUUGCUUUAUUAUUGAAUAGCAUAUUCAAUAUCCAUUGUAUGACUAUCCAAAUAUAUAUUCUCUUAUUGAUGAAUACCUGGGCUGCUGACAUUUUUGUUUAUGAAUAUAGCUGCUAUAAACAUUCAUAUGCAA